CCGCGGUAAUUCCAGCUCCAAUAGCGUAUAUUAAAGUUGUUGCAGUUAAAAAGCUCGUAGUUGAAUUUCGGGAUUGGCGCAUCGGUCGUGCCUCACGGGGUAUGAACUGGUGCAGUCAAUUUCUCACCUUCUGGAGAACCGCGAUGUCCUUAAUUGGAUGCCGCGGGGAACCAGGACCUUUACUUUGAAAAAAUUAGAGUGUUUAAAGCAGGCAUUUUUGCUUGAAUACAUUAGCAUGGAAUAAUAAAAUAGGACGGCAUGGUUCUAUUUUGUUGGUUUCUAGGACCACCGUAAUGAUUAAUAGGGAUAGUUGGGGGCAUUAGUAUUCAAUUGUCAGAGGUGAAAUUCUUGGAUUUAUUGAAGACUAACUACUGCGAAAGCAUUUGCCAAGGAUGUUUUCAUUAAUCAAGAACGAAAGUUAGGGGAUCGAAGACGAUCAGAUACCGUCGUAGUCUUAACCAUAAACUAUGCCGACUAGGAAUCAGACGAUGUUAAUUUUUUAAUGACUCGUUUGGCACCUUACG
Molecule: unclassified non-coding RNA, 524 nt
Filed under: uncultured Glomeromycotina
Lineage: Eukaryota; Fungi; Glomeromycota
Description: SSU rRNA
Rfam family: Eukaryotic small subunit ribosomal RNA
Source: RNAcentral